UUAAGCGACUAAGCGUACACGGUGGAUGCCCUGGCAGUCAGAGGCGAUGAAGGACGUGCUAAUCUGCGAAAAGCGUCGGUAAGGUGAUAUGAACCGUUACAGCCGGCGAUGUCCGAAUGGGGAAACCCAGUGCAAUUCGUUGCACUAUCGUUAACUGAAUACAUAGGUUAACGAGGCGAACCGGGGGAACUGAAACAUCUAAGUACCCCGAGGAAAAGAAAUCAACCGAGAUUCCCCCAGUAGCGGCGAGCGAACGGGGAGCAGCCCAGAGUCUGAAUCAGCUUGUGUGUUAGUGGAACGGUCUGGAAAGUCCGACGGUACAGGGUGAUAGUCCCGUACACCAAAAUGCACAGGCUGUGAACUCGAAGAGUAGGGCGGGACACGUGGUAUCCUGUCUGAAUAUGGGGGGACCAUCCUCCAAGGCUAAAUACUCCUGACUGACCGAUAGUGAACCAGUACCGUGAGGGAAAGGCGAAAAGAACCCCGGCGAGGGGAGUGAAAAAGAACCUGAAACCGUGUACGUACAAGCAGUGGGAGCACCUUCGGGUGUGACUGCGUACCUUUUGUAUAAUGGGUCAGCGACUUAUAUUCUGUAGCAAGGUUAACCGUAUAGGGGAGCCGCAGGGAAACCGAGUCUUAACUGGGCGUUAAGUUGCAGGGUAUAGACCCGAAACCCGGUGAUCUAGCCAUGGGCAGGUUGAAGGUUGGGUAACACUAACUGGAGGACCGAACCGACUAAUGUUGAAAAAUUAGCGGAUGACUUGUGGCUGGGGGUGAAAGGCCAAUCAAACCGGGAGAUAGCUGGUUCUCCCCGAAAGCUAUUUAGGUAGCGCCUCGUGAACUCAUCUUCGGGGGUAGAGCACUGUUUCGGCUAGGGGGUCAUCCCGACUUACCAACCCGAUGCAAACUACGAAUACCGAAGAAUGUUAUCACGGGAGACACACGGCGGGUGCUAACGUCCGUCGUGAAGAGGGAAACAACCCAGACCGCCAGCUAAGGUCCCAAAGUCAUGGUUAAGUGGGAAACGAUGUGGGAAGGCACAGACAGCCAGGAUGUUGGCUUAGAAGCAGCCAUCAUUUAAAGAAAGCGUAAUAGCUCACUGGUCGAGUCGGCCUGCGCGGAAGAUGUAACGGGGCUAAACCAUGCACCGAAGCUGCGGCAGCGACACUAUGUGUUGUUGGGUAGGGGAGCGUUCUGUAAGCCUGCGAAGGUGACCUGUGAGGGUUGCUGGAGGUAUCAGAAGUGCGAAUGCUGACAUAAGUAACGAUAAAGCGGGUGAAAAGCCCGCUCGCCGGAAGACCAAGGGUUCCUGUCCAACGUUAAUCGGGGCAGGGUGAGUCGACCCCUAAGGCGAGGCCGAAAGGCGUAGUCGAUGGGAAACAGGUUAAUAUUCCUGUACUUGGUGUUACUGCGAAGGGGGGACGGAGAAGGCUAUGUUAGCCGGGCGACGGUUGUCCCGGUUUAAGCAUGUAGGCUGGUUAUCCGCAAAUCCGGAUAAUCAAGGCUGAGGUGUGAUGACGAGGCACUACGGUGCUGAAGUAACAAAUGCCCUGCUUCCGUGAAAGCCUCUAAGCAUCAGGUAACAUUAAAUCGUACCCCAAACCGACACAGGUGGUCAGGUAGAGAAUACCAAGGCGCUUGAGAGAACUCGGGUGAAGGAACAGGCAAAAUGGUGCCGUAACUUCGGGAGAAGGCACGCUGGUGUAGGUGAAGUCCCUGCGGAUGGAGCUGAGACCAGUCGAAGAUACCAGCUGGCUGCAACUGUUUAUUAAAAACACAGCACUGUGCAAACACGAAAGUGGACGUAUACGGUGUGACGCCUGCCCGGUGCCGGAAGGUUAAUUGAUGGGGUUAUCCGUAAGGAGAAGCUCUUGAUCGAAGCCCGGUAAACGGCGGCCGUAACUAUAACGGUCCUAAGGUAGCGAAAUUCUUGUCGGGUAAGUUCCGACCUGCACGAAUGGCGUAAUGAUGGCGCUGUCUCCACCCGAGACUCAGUGAAAUUGAACUCGCUGUGAAGAUGCAGUGUACCCGCGGCAAGACGGAAAGACCCCGUGAACCUUUACUAUAGCUUGACACUGAACAUUGAGCCUUGAUGUAGGAUAGGUGGGAGGCUUUGAAGCGUGGACGCCAGUCUGCGUGGAGCCAACCUUGAAAUACCACCCUUUAAUGUUUGAUGUUCUAACGUUGGCCCUUACCGGGUUGCGGACAGUGUCUGGUGGUAGUUUGACUGGGGCGGUCUCCUCCCAAAGCGUAACGGAGGAGCACGAAGGUUAGCUAAUCGGUCGGACAUCAGGAGGUUAGUGCAAUGGCAUAAGCUAGCUUGACUGCGAGCGUGACGGCGCGAGCAGGUGCGAAAGCAGGUCAUAGUGAUCCGGUGGUUCUGAAUGGAAGGGCCAUCGCUCAACGGAUAAAAGGUACCGGGAUAACAGGCUGAUACCGCCCAAGAGUUCAUAUCGACGGCGGUGUUUGGCACCUCGAUGUCGGCUCAUCACAUCCUGGGGCUGAAGUAGGUCCCAAGGGUAUGGCUGUUCGCCAUUUAAAGUGGUACGCGAGCUGGGUUUAGAACGUCGUGAGACAGUUCGGUCCCUAUCUGCCGUGGGCGCUGGAGAAUUGAGGGGGGCUGCUCCUAGUACGAGAGGACCGGAGUGGACGCAUCACUGGUGUUCGGGUUGUCAUGCCAAUGGCACUGCCCGGUAGCUAAAUGCGGAAGAGAUAAGUGCUGAAAGCAUCUAAGCACGAAACUUGCCCCGAGAUGAGUUCUCCCUGAGACUUUAAGUCUCCUGAAGGAACGUUAAAGACGAUGACGUUGAUAGGCCGGGUGUGUAAGCGCAGCGAUGCGUUGAGCUAACCGGUACUAAUGAACCGUGAGGCUUAACCU
This 2878-nucleotide ribosomal RNA is filed under the name Klebsiella pneumoniae. RNAcentral describes it as "bacterial LSU rRNA". It matches the Rfam family "Bacterial large subunit ribosomal RNA". Lineage: Bacteria; Pseudomonadati; Pseudomonadota; Gammaproteobacteria; Enterobacterales; Enterobacteriaceae. The record is from RNAcentral.